AAUGUUUCGGUAGGUAAGGCUACUGCAGUUAGGAUACGGACUGAUACCGCGAAACGGUGGAGACACUGUAAGCAGGUUAACAGGUCACAUCGAACACAAGGUGUGAUUUAACUCAGUUUCAUUGCCCUGCAAAGCUAAAGCUUGAACGAAU
RNAcentral lists this small RNA (151 nucleotides) under pig gut metagenome. Its description in RNAcentral is "M-box riboswitch (ykoK leader)". It matches the Rfam family "M-box riboswitch aptamer (ykoK leader)". From Rfam's summary of the family: M-box riboswitch, also know as ykoK leader is described as a metaloregulatory RNA that sense divalent metals and function as a genetic control element of genes related to divalent metal transport in bacteria. It was first reported upstream of the B.subtilis ykoK gene and genes with related functions in other bacteria. Phylogenetic analysis of the distribution of M-box RNAs across bacterial genomes revealed that M-box riboswitches are most often employed for the regulation of Mg2+ transporter genes The record is from RNAcentral.